Small nuclear RNA from Neofelis nebulosa (Clouded leopard), 161 nucleotides. RefSeq annotates it as U1 spliceosomal RNA. The transcript has a single exon. The record is from RefSeq and is a predicted model, not a curated record. NCBI's taxonomy places the organism in Eukaryota, Metazoa, Chordata, Mammalia, Carnivora, Felidae.
AUACUUAACCUGGCUGGGGAGAUACCAUGAUCAUGAAGGUUGUUUUCCCAGGGAGAGACUUAGUGCACUCUGGAUGCGCUGACCGCUGUGAUUUCCCCAAACGUGGGAAACUCAACUGCAUAAUUUGUAGUAGCAGGGGACUGUGUUCACACUUUCUCCUU